GCUUACGGCCAUACCACCCUGAACAUGCCCGAUCUCGGAAGCUAAGCAGGGUCCGGGCCUGGUUAGUACUUGGAUGGGAGACCGCCUGGGAAUACCCAGUGCUGUAAGCU
This 110-nucleotide ribosomal RNA is filed under the name Labrus bergylta (ballan wrasse). Lineage: Eukaryota; Metazoa; Chordata; Actinopteri; Labriformes; Labridae. The record is from RNAcentral.